AGCUCCAAUAGCGUAUAUUAAAGUUGUUGCAGUUAAAAAGCUCGUAGUUGAAUUUUUGUGUCUGGUAUUGGUGCAUCUUAAUUGAUGUUUGCUGUAUGUCGACAACAUUUAUCUGUUGAGGAAACACUUAAUUGUGUAAAUCAUUAGAUCGUUUACUUUGAGUAAAUUAGAGUGUUUCAAGCAAGGUUUUGCUAUGAAUACUGUAGCAUGGAAUAAUAAAAUGGGACUUUGGUACUAUUUUGUUGGUUUUUAGAACCAAAGUAAUGAUAAAUAGGGAUAGUUGGGGGCAUUCGUAUUCAACAGCUAGAGGUGAAAUUCUUAGAUUUGUUGAGGACGAACUACAGCGAAAGCAUUUGCCAAGGAUGUUUUCA
Molecule: ribosomal RNA, 371 nt
Filed under: uncultured eukaryote
Lineage: Eukaryota
Description: SSU rRNA
Rfam family: Eukaryotic small subunit ribosomal RNA
Source: RNAcentral